Molecule: ribosomal RNA, 261 nt
Filed under: Pseudomonas sp. Ny1-1
Lineage: Bacteria; Pseudomonadati; Pseudomonadota; Gammaproteobacteria; Pseudomonadales; Pseudomonadaceae
Description: partial 16S ribosomal RNA
Rfam family: Bacterial small subunit ribosomal RNA
Source: RNAcentral
CUCUUGAGAGCGGCGGACGGGUGAGUAAUGCCUAGGAAUCUGCCUGGUAGUGGGGGAUAACGUUCGGAAACGGACGCUAAUACCGCAUACGUCCUACGGGAGAAAGCAGGGGACCUUCGGGCCUUGCGCUAUCAGAUGAGCCUAGGUCGGAUUAGCUAGUUGGUGGGGUAAUGGCUCACCAAGGCGACGAUCCGUAACUGGUCUGAGAGGAUGAUCAGUCACACUGGAACUGAGACACGGUCCAGACUCCUACGGGGGGGG